GGGUUCUGUCUCUCUCUGUGAUACCUUUGCUGGGAACAGAUCAAGGGUGCAAGCCUUCCAACUCCUGUAAAGUUACCUGUCAGGAGGGGUGUGCGGUCGACGGGAUAUAGCCAGGACAUCGUUUGACCCACCGUGCCCCGUGACUGCCAGAAUAGCUCCUCGUGCCUGGGCAGCCUUCUUGAAUGGUUCACUGGCCUUCGGAUCAGAACGCAAGAGAGAUAACACACAGGAAUUCAACCCUUUUCACUCAAAGAGAGAGGAAGGCAUCUCACAGAGGUAUUAUCGGCAUUGAAAGCAAUGAAUACUGGUGCUGUGAAAAAUGGGAAACUGAGGCACAAAGGCUAAGUAACUUGCCCAUGAUUACUAUCUAGCCUCCAGUCUUGUGCUCUAUCUGCUGGACCAUGCUAUGUUUCUAUAUGGAAAUGCUGUGUAAAUGAAUGAACUAUUCUUAAAUCCACCUUGGCCCUGUUCAUUGCUGAACGGUGCCUCUCCCUGAACCUAAAGGACUAACUGAAUUACCAGAGGAUGCUGGGACUUCUUUUGAUUCCCCUUUCAGGACGGCAGUGAUAAGAAAUACAAAAUCUGCUUAUGAAGGUGCCAUGACAUUGUCUCUUUAAAGGGUGAUUUUCGUUAACGCACGGGAGAGUUGAGCUGGCUGCCUCCCAUCAAUGUCACUGGAGUUAAGUUGCUAAAUUCCAGGCUCAAGUGUCCUGGAGCAAGGAGGCGAUUUCCUUUACAGCAGCCCAAGAUGUACAACCUCAAUAAGCCACCAGUCAUCUCAGUUAUAUGGGAUCAGUGGACUACAGAGAUAAAAAAGAGAACAACUUAAUAAGGGUUCUUUUCUAUGGAUGACCCAACCUUUCCGUGCAAAUUCUUCUUUCUCCCUUUCAGUUCCCUAUCAUACUGGAUUGUAGCUAAAAACUGGAUCCAGGUGUGAAAGUGGAACAGAAAAAAUAUUUAAACAAAGUUUAACGACAGAAAUGUUUCCCCUUUCCUUCCACUCCAAAAAUCAUUUGGAAACAGAUUGAAUUGGUUUUUACCUUCAGCAAAGUUGUUAUGUUCAGCAUAAAUUUCUUAGUUCCAGUCUAUAUGCUGAACAAUGACUAAAAGUUCCCAGGACACAAUCACGGAGUGUGAGUAAAGAUCUCUUUCUGGCUUAAACACACAUUUUACAUUCAGCAUGUUAGAGCACUGGGCACUUUUUAUUCCCUGUUGCAAAAAAUAUACACGCAGAAUGUAACAGAGUGGCAGGCCCCUUGAAACGAAGCAGGUCCAGCUCCCUAUGCUAGAACAGGCUCCCAGAUUGGCUAAUUAAGAGGGGAGAGCAGUAAAGAAUUAGACUGUCAGUCAGGAAGGGGGAACAGGCAGCUGGAAGUUGUGGGAGAUGCUGCCAGAGUCCCCUGGGAGGAGAGGCAGUGGGAACCUGCUGGCGGAAAAUGGCCUUUAGGUUGAAAGCCAGGGGAGGCAGAGCACAGAAAAGUCCUGCAGUAGGCUCUGAAGUAAGAGAGACUGAGGGAGUCAAAUAGGCAAAUCCCCUGGGAACUGUAGCCCAGGGGAGCUAAGGAACUGCUUUUGUUUGUCUAUGGAAAGAGAGUCUCGCUGUGGCAGUGGGUCCUUCAGGGGCUGGGGAGAAGCCAGCCUCUUACUGAAACCUUUUGUUUCCCUAAGUUAAUAAUCUAGUUUCUGUCAUGGAGUUGCCCUGACGCAAACUGUCAAGAUCCUCUUCCACAUUCUUCUUAACAUCCGUCAGUAAAAUAAAUGUUAAAAGGAAGAUUGUG
Molecule: long non-coding RNA, 1778 nt
Organism: Dermochelys coriacea (leatherback sea turtle)
Lineage: Eukaryota; Metazoa; Chordata; Testudines; Dermochelyidae
Exons: 5
Source: RefSeq, a predicted model, not a curated record